This 254-nucleotide ribosomal RNA is filed under the name uncultured bacterium. RNAcentral describes it as "partial 16S ribosomal RNA". It matches the Rfam family "Bacterial small subunit ribosomal RNA", at positions 524 to 776 of the family's 1533-position model. The record is from RNAcentral.
UACGAGUGCCUCGAGCGUUAUCCGGAAUCAUUGGGCGUAAAGGGUGUGUAGGCGGUUAUGUUAGUCUCGCGUUAAAUCUUUCGGCUCAACCGAGAGGCUGCGUGGGAAACGGCAUGGCUAAGAGGAUGGAAGGGGUCUGCGGAACUCAUGGUGUAGCGGUAAAAUGCGUUGAUAUCAUGGGGAACACCAAAAGCGAAGGCAGCAGACUGGUCCACUCCUGACGCUGAAACACGAAAGCGUGGGUCGCGAAUGGG